This 380-nucleotide ribosomal RNA is filed under the name uncultured eukaryote. RNAcentral's name for it is "partial 18S ribosomal RNA". It matches the Rfam family "Eukaryotic small subunit ribosomal RNA", at positions 592 to 976 of the family's 1831-position model. The record is from RNAcentral.
CAAUAGCGUAUAUUAAAGUUGUUGCAGUUAAAAAGCUCGUAGUUGGAUUUGUGGCGUACGGUGUGUUCCGGGCACUUGUUGUCUGAGUAACCUGCUGUUGCCAUCCUUGGGUGGAACCUGUGUGGCAUUAGGUUGUCGUGCAGGGGAUGCCCAUUAUUUACUGUGAAAAAAUUAGAGUGUUCAAAGCAGGCUUAUGCCGUUGAAUAUAUUAGCAUGGAAUAAUGAGAUAGGACUUUUUUGCUAUUUUGUUGGUUUGCGCAAAGAGGUAAUGAUUAAUAGGGACAGUUGGGGGUAUUCGUAUUCCAUUGUCAGAGGUGAAAUUCUUGGAUUUUUGGAAGACGAACUACUGCGAAAGCAUUUACCAAGGAUGUUUUCAUUAA